This 790-nucleotide ribosomal RNA is filed under the name uncultured bacterium. RNAcentral's name for it is "bacterial SSU rRNA". It matches the Rfam family "Bacterial small subunit ribosomal RNA", at positions 700 to 1502 of the family's 1533-position model. The record is from RNAcentral.
CGAGGAACUCCGAUUGCGAAAGGCAGCUUACUGUAGCGCAACUGACGCUGAUGCUCGAAAGCGUGGGUAUCGAACAGGAUUAGAUACCCUGGUAGUCCACGCGGUAAACGAUGGAUGCUCGUUGUCGGCCUUUUUGGUCGGUGACCAAGCGAAAGCGUUAAGCAUCCCACCUGGGGAGUACGCCGGCAACGGUGAAACUCAAAGGAAUUGACGGGGGCCCGCACAAGCGGAGGAACAUGUGGUUUAAUUCGAUGAUACGCGAGGAACCUUACCCGGGCUUGAACUGCGGCGGAACGAUUCCGAGAGGAUGAGGCCCUUCGGGGCUGCCGCGGAGGUGCUGCAUGGUUGUCGUCAGCUCGUGCCGUGAGGUGUCAGCUUAAGUGCCAUAACGAGCGCAACCCCCGUCUUCAGUUGCCAUCGGAUGAUGCCGGGCACUCUGGAGAUACUGCCACCGCAAGGUGUGAGGAAGGUGGGGAUGACGUCAAAUCAGCACGGCCCUUACGUCCGGGGCUACACACGUGUUACAAUGGCGCAUACAGAGAGUCGGUGGCAUGCGAGUGCCAUCCAAUCCUUAAAGUGCGUCUCAGUUCGGACUGGGGUCUGCAACCCGACCCCACGAAGCUGGAUUCGCUAGUAAUCGCGCAUCAGCCAUGGCGCGGUGAAUACGUUCCCGGGCCUUGUACACACCGCCCGUCAAGCCAUGAAAGCCGGGGGCGCCUGAAGUCCGUGACCGCAAGGGUCGGCCUAGGGUGAAACCGGUGAUUGGGGCUAAGUCGUAACAAGGUAGCCG